UCAUUUUUUUUUUUCUAUCUGCAAUGCAGUUUAGCUCAGCUCAACAGACAUUCACUGGGCCUUGUGCAAACCACUGAGCUUUAAUAGAUGAAUGAGACAUUGCUCCUGGCCUCAGAUGAACACAAAUAAUUUCUCUUUAAUGUGGAAACUGCUAUGGUACACAAGCAGGCACAGGCUGCUACAGGAGGACAAAAGAAGAGUGCUGAGCCCUGCCUCAUUAGAGAAAAUGAGCUAAGUCAUGAAGACCAGUAAAAGCUGAACAGAAAAAGAAGGGCAGGAGCAGCAGAAGCAAAGGUCGUGAAAUUUCAUGAACACGCAAAGGCGUGACCAUUGGAAGAAGAAACCCAAAGAAGAUGGAGAAGGAAGGUUGACCAAGGGGAGCACCAGGAAAGAACUGGUGUCAUGGAGGCGAAGAAUGGAGAGUUACAGGGAAUGGCGGCAGGUGACAUUGAGUAAACCACCUAGAGGUUCCUGGGCAUCUUUUCCAUGGUUGUUUCAGUGAAAUGCAAGGGGUAGAAAUCAGAUGGUAGUGCUGGGUGCGGUGACUCACGCCUGUCAUCCCAGCACUUUGGGAGGUUGAGCCGGGCAGAUCACAAGAUCAGGCAAUUGAGACCAUCCUGACUAACACGGUGAAACCCCGUCUCUACUAAAAAUACAAAAAAAAUUAGCUGGGCGUGGUGGCAGGCACCUGUAGUCCCAGCUACUUGGGA
Molecule: long non-coding RNA, 710 nt
Filed under: Macaca mulatta (Rhesus monkey)
Lineage: Eukaryota; Metazoa; Chordata; Mammalia; Primates; Cercopithecidae
Description: lncRNA (ENSMMUG00000057379.1)
Source: RNAcentral